RNAcentral lists this ribosomal RNA (465 nucleotides) under Vreelandella stevensii. Its description in RNAcentral is "partial 16S ribosomal RNA". It matches the Rfam family "Bacterial small subunit ribosomal RNA", at positions 338 to 795 of the family's 1533-position model. The record is from RNAcentral. Lineage: Bacteria; Pseudomonadati; Pseudomonadota; Gammaproteobacteria; Oceanospirillales; Halomonadaceae.
CCUACGGGGGGCUGCAGUGGGGAAUAUUGGACAAUGGGGGCAACCCUGAUCCAGCCAUGCCGCGUGUGUGAAGAAGGCCCUCGGGUUGUAAAGCACUUUCAGUGAGGAAGAACGCCUGGUGGUUAAUACCCAUCAGGAAAGACAUCACUCACAGAAGAAGCACCGGCUAACUCCGUGCCAGCAGCCGCGGUAAUACGGAGGGUGCGAGCGUUAAUCGGAAUUACUGGGCGUAAAGCGCGCGUAGGUGGCUUGAUAAGCCGGUUGUGAAAGCCCCGGGCUCAGCCUGGGAACGGCAUCCGGAACUGUCAAGCUAGAGUGCAGGAGAGGAAGGUAGAAUUCCCGGUGUAGCGGUGAAAUGCGUAGAGAUCGGGAGGAAUACCAGUGGCGAAGGCGGCCUUCUGGACUGACACUGACACUGAGGUGCGAAAGCGUGGGUAGCAAACAGGAUUAGAUACCCGUGUAGUC